UACGUAGGGGGCUAGCGUUAUCCGGAAUUACUGGGCGUAAAGGGUGCGUAGGCGGUCUUUCAAGCCAGAAGUGAAAGGCUACGGCUCAACCGUAGUAAGCUUUUGGAACUGUAAGACUUGAGUGCAGGAGAGGAGAGUGGAAUUCCUAGUGUAGCGGUGAAAUGCGUAGAAAUCAGGAGGAAUACUAGUGGCGAAGGCGGCUUUCUGAACUGACCCUGACGCUGAGGUGCGAAAGCGUGGGGAGCAAACAGGAUUAGAUACCCCGGUAGUCCCUGAGCGGG
RNAcentral lists this ribosomal RNA (281 nucleotides) under uncultured prokaryote. RNAcentral describes it as "partial 16S ribosomal RNA". It matches the Rfam family "Bacterial small subunit ribosomal RNA", at positions 524 to 803 of the family's 1533-position model. The record is from RNAcentral.